Molecule: long non-coding RNA, 8790 nt
Filed under: Citrus sinensis (sweet orange)
Lineage: Eukaryota; Viridiplantae; Streptophyta; Magnoliopsida; Sapindales; Rutaceae
Description: long non-coding RNA (CSIN_LNC001176)
Source: RNAcentral
CUCCGCAACCAACUCUGCGUCUGAAAAUUCUUGGAAACCUUCCCAAGCAUCUCUAGUCCCAUGAAAUACAAGAGGAGCACCUUCGUGUUUACAAAUAGCUGCGUACACGCAGAGAGUGCCUAUAAUAUGCAUCAAACUAUAAGGUGAAAACCCAAAUAUUCCGGAAGGCCGGUGUAUGGACCAAGCUAAGCCCUCUCUUUUGUCAACUUCUUCAAACAAUAUAUCUUCCUGAUUAUAGUAAAAAAGCGGCACGUUUAGUCUUGGCAAAUCCUCAGUAAAAGGCGGAUCGUGAGACGGUAUCUUGCCAAUACACUCGAAUGGACCCACGUAAUGUUUGCCUCCCGUUUGGAGACAGAUGUGGCGGACAUUAGGCGCAUUCGGGAUUACAGAACGGAGCACGUUACGAAACAUGGCGCCGUUGAUCUUGCAAUUCUCGGCUUCAGUGGGACGGCUGGCCCACGUCACAUAGAAGAUGUGGGUGACGUCAGUGAGUUUUGAGAGCUUGGCUUGCGUAUCAUCCCGGUCGGAAAUGUCGCAUUGGAUGUAAUCAAUAGGGUACCUGGCGUUCCAAUUAGGCCUGGGGCGUCGGGCCACCCCGUGGACCUUCCACGGGCCACCGGGGGUAUCUGGUCGGGGCAAAAUCUCAGCUAGGCUGUUGCCUACAAUUCCUGUCACGCCUACUACAAGUCCCACGUUCUGGUAGUCUUGAGGUCGCGCAUCUUCUUCCAAUUUGUUCUGUACAGCGAAAAUUAAACAAACAUUAUUUUAAAUAUCAGCAUGUUACGUGUAUGUAUAAGCUUUUCAAGUGAAGAGAGACAAUUAGGGGGUCGAUCUUUACCUUAGCAGCGCCAAUACUACCUGCCCACCGCCAGCUCAUUUUUUGAUGAAUCUGGAAAAUUGAUGAUAAGUUUAGAGACUGCUUAUCUAUAAACAAUUAUACGAGCACUUUCUAGAAGGUAAUUUUCAGUUGAAGUUAGAUAAUGUGAAUAUGUGAUCAAUAAUGAAAGAUCCAAUAUCAUAAUGUGUGGUGAAAUGUGGUUCCGGCUAAAGGCCAAGCUUCACACUGUCAUUGUCAGUCAGUUUGCUUUCCCGCAGUUUUCAAGCUCGGUGCCAACUCAAAUAAAUAAGUAGGCCAGUGUCGGUGACCAUUGCAAUAAAAUCGCCCUAUGAUUAUUACGGAAGCUUCAGUACGUGGACCCUGAGUUUUAAACCUAAAAUCAAAUAUAUGUCUCUUUACUUUUAUAAUUUGCUUAAGGCACACCAGUCAGUUUUGGGACAAAAAGAGUCUUCGAUUUGUAUUUUCAUGGAAAUAAUCAAAACAUUUGAUAUUGAGGUACUGUAACUUUGAAAUUAUAAGUACAAUUAAAAAAAUAAUUGUAACUAUGAAUUAAAAAUUAAUAAUUUCUAGUAAAUAUGACUAUUAAAUAAUAAUUUUGAUAAAAAUAAUAUAUAUAUUAUAGUUUAUUCGUCAUACAGGUAUGAGAUUAAAUUAAUUUAAUUUAUAAAUCAAAGCUAGUAUAUACUAAAUAGUUGUAACUUUUAAGCUGUAGCUACUUAACUUUAAUAUCAAAAUAGGCCUUAGAGCCCGUUUGGAAUUAUUUUUAGGAGUUCCCAAAAGUAAUUUUGAAAAAGUAAAUGUCAAUUUUGGUGUUCGGAAAAUUUUUAAAAAAAUUACUUUUAGCAAGAUCACCCCAUCCUAUAGCAAGUUUUUCAAAAUAGGGAUGCAGUAUCUUUUUAGUAUCGGAUUUUGAAAAUCAGUUUUAUAUUUAAUACAAUUUCAUAAAUCUUCAAAUAUAUUAUAAAAAUCUAAAAUUAUCCUUAUUAAUUACGAAAUAAAAUAAUUAAUUUUAAAGAGAUUGUUAUCACCAAUUAUAUUAAGAUAACCAAAUAAAAUCAAUAAUUUAAAAUAUUUAUUUUAGUUAUCAAUUAUUAUAUAUAUACAAUAAAAAAUAUUUUUCAUACAUGUUUAUAAAAUGCGUAAAUAAAUUAAAUAAAUUUUAUUCAACAUUGUGUCCAAUUAAUUUAUUUAUAUUCUUACAACAGUUUAAUAGUAAUAUGAUUAUAGAAGCCAAAACAUCAAUUUUUUUGGUUAUCAAAUGGUGUAAAAAGUCAAAUGAACACAAAAUGCAUUUGUAGUCUAUUGAAAUAUCAAAAUUGUAAAUACACAUAGGAACCUCGUACAAGCGAUUGUGAAACUCGAUAUAUGAAUAAAUGAAGAAUUCUUUUUUUUCUCUUAAAUUUUAGGAAAUAGUUAAAGAUGUUCAUAUGAAUGAAUGGAAGUUUUUUUUUUCUCAUCUCAUUAAUUCAUGUGAAUAUCCAUGAAGUUUAUUUGAAUGAACAAUUUUUUUUUCUCAAUAAAUAUGCCAUAAUGAAAAAAGUUUUGGCUCUUGUGUAAAAUUUGAAAAUCAUAAAAAAAAUAUAUCAAUAAAAUAAUUCUACAUAAUCUAUGCUCACCAAUUAUUAGGGAGGGUAAAUGCUCAUUUAAUCCAUAUAUUUUGACAUAACUAACUUUUCAACCAUAUUAUUGUUGGAAAAAAAAAACAGUCCUUUGAUUUGUAAUUUUUAGCUAGUUAUACAAAUUUUGCAAGUUUCUAAAUCUCACCUCCACUAGGCAAACUUACGUAAAUAAUCAAAAGAGAGACGUCAUAUUUAAUUUAGAAGUUGCUCUCGUUUAGGCCCUAUUUGAUAUUGAAAUGUUGUAGCAUAGUAAGAAAAAAGAAAAACAAAGUUGCAACUAUUAAAAAAAAUUUGAUAAUGUAUAAUAAAAUAAUUAUUAAAUAAUAAUUUGACAAAAAUAAUAAAGACACUAUAGGUUUUUUCAUACAAGUGUGGGAUCAAAUCAACUUAAUUUCUAAGCUACAAUAGCUAGUGUUUACUAAAUACUUUGAUACUGUAACUUUUAAGAUACAGCUGCCCAACCUUAGGUUUAAAUCGUUUAUAAGGUAAUAAUAGACAUGACUCUAGAAGCUAAAACAUCAAUUUCUUUUCUUUUUUUAAUUAUCAGAUAGUGUAAAACAUCAAACGGAAACAACUAAAUAUGUGAUCCUAUUGUUGUGAAUAUAUCAAAAUUAUCCUCAAAUUAUGAAUCUCUGCCAUUUACAAAAAAGAAUUUAGUACAAGUGAAUGUGAAAGUUGAUAUGCAAAUAAAUGAAUAAUUCUUUUUUUGAAACGACCCGUCCCGCACCCCAGGGCGAGUCUAUCUAAACUCGUAUAAUCGAAUCGAUAAUAAUUAUGAUAUCUAAGAAUUCUAUCAAAAAUUCGACAGAAUCUCCCCUAUAAAUAAAACAUCCCCAAACCUGCAAUUUACAAAAUAAUUCAAUAUCCAUCCAUCCUUCAUAACCAACUUCUCAAGUCAACAUAUCAAAUAUCACCCAAAUCAUUCUAAUAUUAAAAUACAAUGGUUAUCCUUAAUUACAAAAUUAAUAAAUAAAUACAAUUCGCAAUAUCCCAAAUAUCAAAAUAUUAAAUCUACGACUCCUAGCACCAUCACAUGGCCACAAUUUCAAAUCUAACUAUCGUUGCUGGGUCGACUGAUAUACCUGCAAAUCUCCUGUGAGGGGGAAAAAUAUAAUAAAAAUUGGGUAAAUAUAAAACUCAGUGAGCUCAGUGAGUGUAUAGUAGUUUUUGAAAAAAUAAAUUUAUUUAAAAUAAUUUAAACUUUCUCAAAUCAAUUUCAUCAAAAUAUCAUAAGAACUUAUAUAAACAUAUUCAAUUCAAAUCAUUCAUUGAAAUAACUAUAUUACAUAAAUCUGCAUAAAAUCAAUGAAAUCAUAAUAAUUAUAAUAUCAAAUGCUGAAUAUAAAAAACUAUCAUCAAACAAGUACCCAGGGAAAUGAUCUCAUCAUAUCCGGACCUCGACGGACGGGCAAUCAGGGAACCAUCAUGCCCUGGAGCUACAACGGAUAGACGGGGAAAUCUCAUCUCAUAUCUCAUGUAUUUGAACAUCUGUAUCUCUAUAAUCAUCAUACUGCAUGCAUAAGCCCCCAAAAGGCAAAAGCGCCCAAACACACGGCCCAAAGCCUCUAUGUGUGUUCAGACGGGCCCCAAAGGCCUCUAUCUCAUCUCAUAUGUAUCUCUGUAUUCAUCUCGUAUUAUCUGUAUCUCUGUAUCUGGAGAGGAAGGGUACUGUCCAAUGAUUUUUCAAACAACAUUUUAUACACAUGUACAUAAACAUAUAAUCACAUCUGAAAUCUCAUUUUCUUUUUAUUCAACAUAUCUCAAAUCCACUCAAUUCUAAUAUCAUGCAUCUACUAAAAAACAAUAAUAAAAUCAUUAAUCAAACUCAUUCUUAAUAACAAUAAAUAUCAACACACAGAUAAAAAUCAAUUUUCUAGAAAAUCAUUAAAUCGAAGCAUCAAAUACUUAUUUAUCAAAACAUACUGCACUGUAUCAUAAAAUUAGCAUAUACUAUGAAAAUAGAUUUUGUAUAUUCCACUCACAGUGACGAAGUCUAGACUCGGUAUCAACAGUGUCUGCGGGUUAAUUCUCAUUCACGGAUCCUCCUAAUUAAGGAAAUGACAUAAUUAUUCUCCAUAAAUUUGAAAUACAACUAAUUUUACAUAAUAAUUCUCGAAGCGAAUAUCUAUCAACAAUAAACUAUUCCCACAUGCACAAAAUUACCGAAAUACCCCUACAUGCCAAAAUUACCAAAAUGCCCCCAACAUCAUUAUUUUACCAAAUUAUCCUCAGAAUCUUCAAUUAAUAAAUUGUCCUCAAUUCAGAUCACGAAAUUAUCACAAUGUCAGAAAUUACGAAAUUACCCUCGGCACGUAAAAUUACCAAAAUGUCCUUAGCGACUUAAAUUACCAAAUUACCCUCGAAAUAUCAAAUUACCUCACUGCCCUAACAUAAAAUUACCAAAUUAUCCACUGAUUCCAUAAAUUACAAAUUCACCCUAAAUUUUUAUGAAUUUACCAAAUUGCCCGUACCGGUCAACGGUGACCGGACUUCAGUCAACGACAACGGGAAGCUUAGGUCUGAUAGUUCAGACCUCGGUGAGUCCAAUGGUGGUGCCCGUGAGUCCCCACGCGCGGCGAUAGCGGUAGAUCGAAGCUCCAAAAUCUGUGAGCUUUCCGGUGGUCGUUUGCAGCAAAGACGGCGUCCCUGGUGGUCGUGGUCAGUCGGAAAGUGACGAGUGUGAGUUAAGGAACAAGAUCCGAGUGGUGGCGGGAUUAAAGGCGGCGAAAACAGGUCUUGGCCGCGAAUUUUCGAGCUCAAUCGCCGGCUUUCUGGUAGGUUCCCGGCGGCGAGGAUGGCAGGGUUAUGACGGCCGGCUUCCAAGCUUCAUAUCGGUACCAAGCUCGGCCGGUGCGGUGGCCGGAAUCGCGAGAUCCAUUCGGGUCAAAGUCGCGGGUCGGGUCGGAUUCGCGGGUCAAACCGGAUCAAUUCUCUUUCUCUCUCUCUCUCUCACGUGCCCCUAGGGUUGGCAGAAAAGCCCGGGCCGGCCCAGGCCCGCGGGCUUUAAGCCCGGCCCGUGGCUUGAAAGUAUGGGUAAGGGCUCAUAAUUAAUAAAGCCCAUAACAUAUGGGCUCAGUCAAGGGCCUAAAUGAAAAGUCCGGGCUUAAGCCUGGGCUUUAUAAUAAAUAAUAUAAUAUAUAUAUAUUAUAUAUUAUGGAUAAGAGCUUUAUAUAUAUAUAUAUGUAUAUAGUUCAGGUACCCCAUACCCCAUAUUAGGUAUGGGGUACCUAAUCCAUUUUAAUGCUUUAUUAAGAGGUUUAUAAUUAAUAACCAGUCUUGGUGUUCCUCUUUCAAAUGUAUUAGAGAAUUAUAUUUAAGUUUUUAGCCUAUUGUAGUAUUAUGUAUUGGUUAAUUAUGUUUUGAAAAUUUAUAAUUUUAUGGCCGUACAGCAGAAUUUAAAAUUUCGUAAAAGCCCGGGCUUGGCCCGCGGCCCGGCCCAGGCCCGUCAAGGCCCGGCCCGCCCAAAGCCCGCUCAACUUGGAUGGGCUUUGAGAGGGCCUGGACUUAUUUAACAUUAUAUGGGCCUGGUCCUGGGCUUGGCAAAGCCCGGCCCAGGCCCUUAAAUUGCCAACCCUACGUGCCCCCUCUCUCUUUCCUUUUUUGGAAACCAGCUUCCCACUUUCCAUUUAUAGAAACUGGCUUCUUUUUUUUUUUUUUGCACUUAAGCUUAAUACAAAUUAAGCUAAUACCGGACCGUGAGGAAAAUAAAAUCCGACUACCUGAGCUUUUAAUCGGGCUCAAUUUAUCUCGAUUUAAUGUUGUGAUAAUUUUAAAAUUAAUAUCGAAGAGGAAAAAUUAAUUCAUGCACUUAAUUAGGAAAAAUCAAAGUGCAUAUGUUACAUUUUUAUUUUAAUUUCAAGAAAUAGCUAACUUGUUCAUAUGAAUGAAUUGAAGUUUUUUUUUUGGGCUUUCUCAUCUCAUUAAUUCGUGUGAACAUUCAUGAGGGUUAAUUGAAUGAACAAAAUUUUAUUUUCUCAAUAAAUCUGCUAUCAUAAAAAACGUUUUGGCUCCUGUCUAAAAUUUGAAAAUCGUAGCAAAAAGUAUAACAAUAAAAUAAUUCUACAUAAUUUAUACUCACCAAUUAAUCAGGAAAAUAUAUUAGAUAUAACUUUGAUGGAAUCAACAAAGUGAGAUAGAAAGAAGAAAAAGUGUCUAAAGCUUCAAUUUUGUUAGUUUUUUAUGAAUGUCUCACCAUGUUAGGAAAUCAAUAGUGUGUGUGUGUGUAAAAUGAUGAGAUUGAGAAAAAAAAAAUUAAGGUUUAUGGUAUGGAUGUGAUAAAUGGGUUUGUUUAAUUAAUAUUAACAUCUUUGUUCAAUUGUUUAAGGUUUUCCUUUAUAGUUACUUCAAUUUUGGGUAAUUUAGGAAUAAUAAGUUGUUAUUACAAAAUUUAUAUUCAAAGUUGUUUCAAGGGUGAAAAAUCUAUACCCUUAUAAUUUUGUGUGUUAUGGCUCAUCAAGUGUGUUGUAUUACAAGUGAGUGAUUCAAAUUCAAAUAGAUAUUUUCAUUGGAUGUGUUUUUCCACACUAGGGUGGGACUAUAUUGCACAAAUGGAUGGAGAGUGCAGACCCAUAUUCGGCUUACAUAAAUUUUUGUUGGGCUGGAUUAUAUCCAAACAUGAUGCGAACGACACAACAUAAAUCAAACGCGGCUCCCCCUUGAGGUUAGUCAGCUUUGCAUUACAUUUAUUUUAUAUAAUGAUAACAAUUUAAAUGCAUUUAUCAAUUUUAUUAAUAUUGAAAUACACUUUAUUUUAAUUUUCUUUUCUUACCCUUUUCUUUCUCUCUCCUCUCUCUAAGUAAUGCUCUCCGCUUGAAAAAUUUUGGAUUAUUCAAUUUCAAUCGGUUAUAUUUUUACAAUCAACUUUUUCUUUUUCUUUUUCUUUUUCUUUUUCUAGUCCUGUGAAUCGGUUGGUUAGAAAGGAAGUGGUUUAGAAGAGGAACCACUUAGAAAAGCUUUGGUCUUGAAUUAGGCUUUAAUUGAAAAUUGGGUUUAGUUAUAACUUGAAGGCAUGUAAUUAGAAACGUAUUAUGAAUGUUUUUCUCCAGGUCGACAAUUUAGCUAAGUAUAUUUAUUGAACCCAUCAACAAAUAACAAUAACACAGCAAUUUUUUUUUCCCUACCUGAAAUGAAGCUUUUCAUUGAUUAACAAACAAAAGUUACAUUUCUUCAGCAGAACAAUCACAGCUUGAACUAAUAAUUGAAAAUGUUGCUAAAUCGUGACUUUUCAAUAGCUAAGGCACCAAAUCCCAAAAAAAAAUAAUAAUAAGGAAAUUACUUAAGUCACAGGGCUGUGACUUUUUUUUUUUUAAUUUAACUCAUUAACAAUAACAAAGAAAAACAGGAAAUUACUUAAGUCACAGGGCUGUGACAAUAAUAAUAAGGAAAUUACUUAAGUCACAGGGCUGUGACUUUUUUUUUUUUAAUUUAACUCAUUAACAAUAACAAAGAAAAACAUCUCAUUUCCACGUAAAAUGAAACUUUUCGUUGAUUGGAAAGCAAAGAACAAAGAAAAGCUGUAUUUCUUGCAGCCAAACAAUCACAGCUUGAACUAUCAAUAAAAUGUUUAAGUAAGGCACCAAAUUCAAAAAAGAAAAUUACUUAAGGCACAAUCCUGUGACUUUUUAGCCUACCAAUCCAAGCAACGAAGGAAUUCUUAGAAUUCCUGAAACCCAGGAACCCGUGCUCCUUACUCUUGUUCAUGCUAACUGAAUAACCCGCACCAACAUUCAUCACCAUAUCUGCAUACGACCAAACAGCGACCUCAUUCAAUUUUGUUGGCUGCAACUGAUUCUCUCUCACAAUCUCCUCCCACACACUUUCUUUACCUUUCAUAAUUUCCUCCAAUCUCACCCUCUCACUACCCUUUUCAUCUCCAAACCCAUAAUUCUCAAUCUCAAACUGCUCAGCCAACACUUUCCAUAAAUGCUUCCACUUAAAAACAUCUCCAUUGGUGCAAUUGAAAGCUUCGUUUCUUGCAUUAGGAUCCACUGCCGCCCAAAUUUCCUGCUCCGCAAUCAAAUCUGCAUCCGAAUAUUCUGAGAAGCCUUCCCAAGUUUCUUUCGUCCCAGGAAAUAGUAAAGGAAAACCUUCAUGUUUGCAAAUAGCAGCGUACACGCAGAGAGUGCCUACAAUAUUCAUCAAACUAUAAGGUGAAAACCCAAAUAUUCCGAAAGGUCGAUGUAUGGACCAAGUCAAGCCUUCUCUUUUUUCAACUUCUUCAAACAAUAUGUCUUCUUGAGUAUAGUAAAAAAGUGGUACGUUUAACCUCGGCAAAUCCUCUGUAUAAGGAGGUUCGUGAGACGGUAUCUUGCCAAUACACUCGAAUGGACCCAC